RNAcentral lists this ribosomal RNA (301 nucleotides) under uncultured bacterium. Its description in RNAcentral is "partial 16S ribosomal RNA". It matches the Rfam family "Bacterial small subunit ribosomal RNA", at positions 509 to 807 of the family's 1533-position model. The record is from RNAcentral.
CAGCCGCCGCGGUAAUACGAAGGGGGCUAGCGUUGUUCGGAAUUACUGGGCGUAAAGGGCGCGUAGGCGGCCAUUCAAGUUAGAUGGGAAAGCCCUGGGCUCAACCUAGGAAUUGCAUUUGAUACUGUUUGGCUUGAGUUCGGGAGAGGUGAGUGGAAUUCCCAGUGUAGAGGUGAAAUUCGUAGAUAUUGGGAAGAACACCAGUGGCGAAGGCGGCUCACUGGACCGACACUGACGCUGAGGCGCGAAAGCGUGGGGAGCAAACAGGAUUAGAUACCCGCGUAGUCCCUGUCUCUUAUAC